Molecule: long non-coding RNA, 1607 nt
Organism: Lycium ferocissimum
Lineage: Eukaryota; Viridiplantae; Streptophyta; Magnoliopsida; Solanales; Solanaceae
Exons: 4
Source: RefSeq, a predicted model, not a curated record
CCGUUUUCGGGCAACAUAUGUCUACCUUUUUAAUGUUUGUGGACAUCUGACUUCCACUUCAGUUCCAUCUCCAAUUCACCUUUUUCAUUCUUCGGUGUUGGUUUCCUAUUGCACUGCCUCUCUUACUCACUCACAUCUUCUUAUCUUUUUUUGCUUACUAUAUUUUCUUUGUAAAAAGUUGAUGCAAUGAUAGAGUUGGUCCGCGCUUGUGAAUCACUCCGUCUUUGUCCUUUUUGGGUUGUAGCAGGAAAAUUUCUAGGAGCACUGAGGACUCUAUCAGAAGAAAGUCAAUUUAUCUUAGCUUGAUGGCUCUGGGGCCACAAUUCAAGAUUUGGUUCAUCAUGCUGUCUAUUGUUGUCUUCCACACCUAAAGAUGCAAGGUGUAAUUAUUUAUACUUGUUAUUUAUACUCUUUUUUUUUUUUUUUUUUUUCCAACAAUGAAAUCUUUGGUAUUGUUGGUUGUUCAUUUGUAGCAUACAUCAAUUGCAUUUACUUCGAGAAGAAAGGAAUUACAAAAAUGAGAUGCUGUGAAGGAGCAGAGGAGGAUUCGUAUUCCAAAAAUAUAACCAUUUUCCGGAGGGAUUGCUAAUCGUUGUAUUGCAGGUUACAGGAUGCUGUGUUGAUUGGAAUGCUAACAGUUCCGGAGACGAUUUACUAUUCAGCUGAAUUGCGUCUCCCCUACAAGAUGCCAUUAUCAGAGAAACGGCCACUGGUUGAUAGCACAAUUGUUUAAAUGGCACAAGAUUGUGCUGAUACGUUUGUUGGGAAUUGACACGUACGUGGUAUUACUUGGGAGGAAAGAAGAGGGUUAGUAUUGCACUUGAGAUUCUAAUGAGGCCUACAAUACUCUUUCUUGAUGAACCAACAAGUGGACUAGAUUUGGGCGGAGGAUAUUCAAGAAAGGAUCUUGGUAUGAGCUACAUGAAGGAAAAAAGACAGAAAGUGAAUAGGGGUUUGGAAAGGUUGCAUGAGAGAGUAAACAACAAGACAAAGUGGAAGAGAAUUAUAUUCUUCUUUAUUUUGAAUACAAGCUUAUCAGAAGAGUUCCCAAUCUCCGUUUUCUAUGUGGUUUGUGAAUAUAAUUUGGCAAUCAUUUAGAAAAAGCAGGGGAAAAGAGUAUUAAGUUCACUUUCCUCUAUCCGCUAGACUUUGAGUCUGUUUGUGCAAAUGGCACUUUGAGCCAUUGAAGGGUAGCAUGGAAACAAUAUGAUGGUAUAUAAGGUACGAUUGAAUUGAAGGAUACAAGUAAUAUGAUGAAGUGGUAGGUGGCUUGGAUGCACAUCCUGGAACGAAAUAUCUUUUUGCAGUAAUAUUUGUCAUUUGUAGUAAGUUGUUUGCACUGUCUAAAAUGAUUCGAAACAAAAUGCACUUAUAAAUACUCCUUCUUAUGAUAGCCAUAGGAUUUUUCUAUGUAGAUGCUUAGAACUUUGUAAUGAAUAUGACUCUUGGUCAUUUCCAAAAAAAAAAAAUUGGUGCUCAAAAUUCCCUCUUUUGCUUUCUGAGUGCUGAUUUGGCUUCUGAUUUUUGGUCAUUUCAGGACACUCAGAUGCCAAAGAGUAGGUAUUGAUUUGGAUGCUCCAGAUGUGAAGUGGAAGCGAGAUUUUUUU